This 3357-nucleotide long non-coding RNA is filed under the name Musa acuminata (dwarf banana). RNAcentral's name for it is "long non-coding RNA (MACU_LNC000103)". Lineage: Eukaryota; Viridiplantae; Streptophyta; Magnoliopsida; Zingiberales; Musaceae. The record is from RNAcentral.
GCUGAUCUCGCCGGGAAAUGACGUCAGCUGUAUGUUUUCCAGCGUUCCGUCCAUGAUUCCAGGGUUUCUUCGUCUCCCCAGUCUCCAAGUAAGUGGCUUUUCUUCUUCUUCUUCCAAGAAUUGUGGGAAAUGAUAUGAAAUUAGACCUAAGAGAAUGCAAGUGGAGUUGCAAUACGGAAGAAACAGGGGAAUUGGAGCACUGUGGACUUGUGGAGUUGGAAUGGUGAUGAAACAGGGGGAUUAGACUACUGUGGGAUUCUGUAGCAGAUGAGGAAGAGAGAGAGAGGGAAAGAGAGGAGAAGGGAACAAAAGAAGAGAGGAGAUUUAUGUUGCUGUGGAUGCUGGUGUGGGAAGAACAGGAGGUGGGUAUUUAUAGGCAGAGAGCUCUCAAUUGUUGCUCCUAAUUCUCUGCUGCUUCUGGGGAGAUAAUGGAGAAGAAGGUCUGCUUCCCUUUGGGAACAGAGGAUGAUUGGAUUGGAGGCUCACCUGGGUCCCACAGUGGGACAAUCUUAUGUGAGAACAAGACCCACUCAAAGCUUUACCCUUUGUGUCCUACAGGAGGAGCAUUGGAGGCCAAAAGCCAACUUUUGGCAUUUAUAAGCCCAGCUGUUCAUGUUGUCAUGCUUUAAAUUGUGUAGCUUAGGCUCCACUGGGUGAUCCCAUUAGAAUGAACUUUGAUGGAUGAGAGAAGGGAAGAAGCAUCUCUGAAGCAUUAUUCUAUCAAGAGACCACUCUUGAUUUCUCUAAAUUAUGAAUCUAAUAUUAGAUUUAGCUGGCUCUUAAGCUUGUAAAUGUUACCCAUAUAGAGAAAUACAGAGAGAAAGCAUGUGUUUGAGAAUGAAGAGAGCUGCAUUAUUGGGGUUUUGCAAAAUAUAAGGUGUGCAAAGACAAAGCUUUGGUUAUAUGCAGUGUUGGUGUACAUUUGCUUGUGAGUCACUUUAAAGAAGCAACAGAAGUAGUGGUGGGAUGGGAGAUGUCAUUGUGCUAGUUUUGCAAAGAGUCCAGGAUCUGUGGACAAAGAUGAUUAGAGUACAUCUUAUUAUCUCUACAGAUAGAGAGGAGAGAGGUCAAGCCAUUCCCACAUCAAGUCAGUUCUUAUAGUUGUUGAAGUAGCAAACUAAAUUACAAGUACAUGACAGACACUUGGCACCUUUUGAAGGGUAUUGAGUUGUGGGUCUUUGACAGGGACCUGGUUUGAGAGUCUGAAGCCAUAAGUACUACUGAACAGAAAGAGGACACAUGUAUGGGGGUGCCACCAUAAUUAGAUAAGACCCCAAUCUUAUCUUCUCUGAUAUAGCAUCUCCAUAUAUAAUAUAUAUAUUACUUUCCAAAUAACACUUGCACUCCAUAUAAUUCUCAAUGAUUUAUUUCUCUUUGCUUGGCAUAGAAGACCUGUUCUUAAUCAUUUACACAGCAAAAUAAUUUCUUGAUGACAACAAGUUACAUUGUUAGGAAAUUAUCAGUUACUGACUUUGUUAGGGUGUACAUUCUUUUGAACUUUGCUGCCUCUGCUUUGAUACUCUCAACAUAAUUUACUCUGCUUUCUUUCUUUCUUCAAGAAUAAGUGAGUACACCAAACUGUUUAAGCAUUUCUUCCAGAAAUAAGAAUGUCAAUGGUAGUCAUGGGUAUUAGGUUUCAUCAAGAAAAUAUUAUUGAUAGAAGACUAGUCCUUGGCAGUACAUUUGGUCAUUUAAUAGGUUUGGUCAAGAAUAUUGCCAACUGGCAACAAGUGUGUGGUAAGGUUUUCAAAGAAAUGGUCAAGCAUGGUAUGGCUUUAUGAACACAUUGCUACUUCUUGUGACUUUUGACUUGGUAGUCUGCUAACAUCACAAACCAAAAUCACUAAAUAGGUUGUAGAUUGUGCUGCAUUUACGAGGAAAGAAACAACACAUUUGUUUGGCUAUAUUGUUCCAUAGAAUAUUUGCAGCAUCCUUCUAUUAACUCUCCAUCUGCUACCCAACUCCUCAUUUAUCAUCUUAGACUUCAUGGUUCAUCUGCUAAGCUGAGUAGAGUCUCUGUUCAACCAGUUAUCAUCCCUCAUCUUCAUGACAAUGCUGUGAUCUGUCUCGAGUCAUUUCUUGUUGAGGAAAUUGUAGGAUUAAAUGGUCGAAUAUAGGACCUCAUGAAUCACUGUUAAAGUGCUAUGUAUAAAGAUUUGAUCUUUAUACAUAGCACUCCAUUAGAAUACCACGAAUGAUUUGUCCAAAGGAAGCACUGCUCGAAAGAACAUUCUCAUCGAGUACUACCACACUCUAGGAUGCUAAGAUUGUUAACCUCAACAGGUGAUACCCAUCUCCAUUGUUAUGAAAAGGAAUGGGUCAUCUGCAGCUCAUCAUUCGAGCAAUGCUGAAACACAUUCUUCUUCCAUAGACCAACAAGCUUGCAAGAUCAGUAGUUCAUCAGUCAAAAGCAUCAAAUUUUGCAGCUUAUGCCGUGUCCUUGAUAAGCAUCAGUGUGCCAUUUCAGGUAUGAAGUAAGAGAAUUGAUGGACACGAGGAAGAUUCUUGGUGGCUUUUGCAGUGCAGAGACAAAAAGGUUGACAAGAUGCAAGUGAUAUGAAGGAAGAACCACAGCCACGAGACUUCUCUGGCCAUAAAAGCAUGGAUUUUCCUCUCUUCUUCCAUCUCAAUCUGAAUGGAAAAAGGAUCCACAGGUGCUUAUCCUUUGCCUCUUGUGAUUCUAAUUAAUUAAACUAGUCGUAGUCGAGUUGUUGUCCGAGCCAAAUUAACAUGUUUUUCUGUCUUCGGUUUUAUUCCUCGAUCAAGUGUAGCUCUAAGAACUAAUGUGAAGGAAGCCCGGCUUUGGGCUCGCUUCCGUUGACAUUUUGAAUGCAAUUGGAUGUUGACCGAGAUUGACAUUUGUUCUUCUUCUCUUUCUUUUUCCUUCUUUUUUUGCGUUGCUUUCAGACUUCUAAGGAUGGUUUGGAGAAAUAGGAUGGCCGCCAUGAAGCUUCUACUCCAAAGUCGUACAUGGAUCCGGUCGAUGGGGCCCAUCACCUUUGUGACUUCCCCUCCGUGUCCCGUGAGAUGUGGGCGCCGACCUCUGACUUUUUAUUGUAUCUGUGGGGUCCACAAAAUAGUCAUUUUGACUCUUUUACUCUGAUGUCUAGUGAGAAAUCGAAGCCGAUCGCUGACCUUUUUUUAAUCUGCGGGGUCCACAAAAUAGCCAUUUUGACUCUUUGACUAUGAUGUCUCAUGAGAAAUCGAAGCCAACCGCUGACUUUUUUUUUUUUCUUUAUCAGCGGGGGCUACAAAACAGCCAUGACUCUGAGUCUGACUUUGAUUUCUCAGGGAGCCGAUCGCUAAGUGUGGGGUCCACAAAAUAGCCAUUUUGACUCUGACCCUGUUGUAUCACCA